RNAcentral lists this non-coding RNA (116 nucleotides) under Erinaceus europaeus (western European hedgehog). Lineage: Eukaryota; Metazoa; Chordata; Mammalia; Eulipotyphla; Erinaceidae. The record is from RNAcentral.
GUGUUGUAUGAAAGGCGAGAAGGUUAGCACUCCCCUUGACAAAUGUUCACUCUGGAAUAGAGUUACAGCCACUGUUUGCUUUCUGGCGACAUUUGCGUUGCGGAGCCUGUUCUUUU